GAUGAACGCUGGCGGCGUGCCUAAUACAUGCCAGUCGAGCGAACAGACGAGGAGCUUGCUCCUCUGAUGUUAGCGGCGGACGGGUGAGUAACACGUGGAUAACCUACCUAUAAGACUGGGAUAACUUCGGGAAACCGGAGCUAAUACCGGAUAAUAUAUUGAACCGCAUGGUUCAAUAGUGAAAGACGGUUUUGCUGUCACUUAUAGAUGGAUCCGCGCCGCAUUAGCUAGUUGGUAAGGUAACGGCUUACCAAGGCAACGAUGCGUAGCCGACCUGAGAGGGUGAUCGGCCACACUGGAACUGAGACACGGUCCAGACUCCUACGGGAGGCAGCAGUAGGGAAUCUUCCGCAAUGGGCGAAAGCCUGACGGAGCAACGCCGCGUGAGUGAUGAAGGUCUUCGGAUCGUAAAACUCUGUUAUUAGGGAAGAACAAAUGUGUAAGUAACUAUGCACGUCUUGACGGUACCUAAUCAGAAAGCCACGGCUAACUACGUG
RNAcentral lists this ribosomal RNA (497 nucleotides) under uncultured bacterium. RNAcentral describes it as "partial 16S ribosomal RNA". It matches the Rfam family "Bacterial small subunit ribosomal RNA", at positions 28 to 507 of the family's 1533-position model. The record is from RNAcentral.